ACCUGCUUGUCCUGCAGGUCCGAGGAGAGCUCAUAGCUCUCGGAGAGCGAGCGCGAGCGCUUGAUGGCGUCCUCCUCUGCCUGCUUGCGCAGGAUGGAGGUCGAGUGCUGCAGCUUGGGCCUCCGUGCGCGCUGCUGUCCUGGCGGCCCCGAGUACAGCCCAUAGGCGCCCAGGGAUGGGUGCUCGUAGUGGUCGGGGCUCAGCGACUGCGUCCUCUCGGAGUGGCAGUGCAGACACCACAUGGCGGCGGCCGCCGGACGGACCGGGCCGGGCGCGGGGACCCAGGCCCGCCCGAGUGCCGCCGACUUCCGCCGCGGCGGCCGAUCCCCGACCCCUCAGCCCCCCGAGACCUGACAGCCCCGGCCGGAGGACCCCGCAGGGUCGCCUGGCGCAGUGCCCGCCGCUUCCCGCCGCUUCCGAGCCGAGUCAGAGCCCCAGACCGCCUAGUCCACCCCUCCGCCACCGCCCGCCUGGCGCAGCGCGCCGCCGCUUUCGAGGCCGGGGAAGAGGCUACGUGCAGGCCCUACCACGGGAGUCUGCCAACAGCCACAUCUUCCUCGCAACUGGUCACCUGCGCAAACAGCGCCGCUCCGCCCAGCCGGGGCCCAAGUGCCGACGCCCACCCAGAUUUCGCCCCGGCUCAGGGCCCAGAGCCGGGUGGGUCUCAUCCCGAGGCUCUGAGGAAAAACUUUCUCCCCAAGCGCGCCCAGCCCAGCACAACCCAGUUUUUAACAUGAGCCAAGGAUCUGAACAGACUUCCCCAGAGAAGACAGACAGAUGGCCAGCAACCCCUGAAAAGAUGGCCUCGACAGCUCUGGUCGCUAGGGAAUGGAGGCCCGCGCCUGGGCUGCGGCUCUGGAAGGAGACCGCUGGGCCCCGCGGCUCACGAACACAUCUGGCCCCUCUCCUGGGGUGGGCCGCGCUGGCAGGGGCGGCCUGAAAUAGCCCCUCUGCGGGGGCCCAGCCGGACCUGCCCUCCC
This 980-nucleotide long non-coding RNA is filed under the name Heterocephalus glaber (naked mole-rat). RNAcentral describes it as "lncRNA (ENSHGLG00000034335.1)". The record is from RNAcentral. Lineage: Eukaryota; Metazoa; Chordata; Mammalia; Rodentia; Bathyergidae.